RNAcentral lists this transfer RNA (67 nucleotides) under human gut metagenome. It matches the Rfam family "tRNA", at positions 5 to 66 of the family's 71-position model. From Rfam's summary of the family: Transfer RNA (tRNA) molecules are approximately 80 nucleotides in length. Their secondary structure includes four short double-helical elements and three loops (D, anti-codon, and T loops). The record is from RNAcentral.
GCUUAGCUCAGUUGGUUAGAGUACUUGCCUUACAAGCAAGGUGUCAUAGGUUCGAGUCCUAUAGCGC